RNAcentral lists this ribosomal RNA (451 nucleotides) under uncultured bacterium. Its description in RNAcentral is "partial 16S ribosomal RNA". It matches the Rfam family "Bacterial small subunit ribosomal RNA", at positions 28 to 507 of the family's 1533-position model. The record is from RNAcentral.
AGCGAACGCUGGCGGCAUGCCUAACACAUGCAAGUCGCACGGGGGGGCUUCGGCCUCCCAGUGGCGGACGGGUGAGGAACGCGUAGGGACCUGUCGAGGGGUGGGGGAUAACCGCGGGAAACUGCGGCUAAUACCGCAUGACGCCGCGGCGUAACAGCCGGGGCCAAAGGCGAAAGCCGCCCGCCGAGGGGCCUGCGUCCGAUUAGCUGGUUGGCGGGGUAGCGGCCCACCAAGGCGUCGAUCGGUAGCUGGUCUGAGAGGGUGAUCAGCCACACCGGGACUGAGACACGGCCCGGACUCCUACGGGAGGCAGCAGUGGGGAAUAUUGGACAAUGGGCGCAAGCCUGAUCCAGCAAUGCCGCGUGGGUGAAGAAGGUCUUCGGAUUGUAAAGCCCUUUCGGCGGGGACGAUGGUGACGGUACCCGCAGAAGAAGCCCCGGCUAACUUCGUG